This is a long non-coding RNA of Arachis duranensis, 888 nucleotides long. RefSeq lists it as uncharacterized. The transcript has 3 exons. Lineage: Eukaryota; Viridiplantae; Streptophyta; Magnoliopsida; Fabales; Fabaceae. The record is from RefSeq and is a predicted model, not a curated record.
CACCGUCGUUGGCCUCGCCUUCUGCCUCCGUCGCGCAGCCACUGUCUCGACAGUGCCAGUUCUGUUCCAUCGUGUCAGCCCUUCGGUCGUGCCCUGUUCCUUUCUUGCUACUGAUCUGCUCUGCUCUGUUCUAGCAUUUAGUUCUAGAACAUAAGAGUAGGUGCACACACACGCAGAACAAAGGCCCCUUCUGGUUGCCUAAUGCUUAGAAAGAAUAAACUACAACAUGAAUUCAGGAAUGAGGUAUCUGAAUGAGGACCUUGGAUAUUGAAGAUCUUGCAAACCUACUACGGAUCUAGAAGCAUGGUUGUGAGAGAUGAUCUUCUUGUCCUUCCAUAUCAAUCUCUUUUGUCAAAAUCAUCUUGUGAAGCUCUUGGUCUGAAUUUGAAAUCCAAUAUUGAUAAUAGAUGAGGCACAUGAUUUAGCUGAUUCAUUCAUCAGCAUGUAUGGCUCAAAAAUUACUUUAUCACAGCUGGAGAAUGCAUUUCCAUGUAGAACGGUACUUUGUGAGAUUCCACAGUCUUUUGGGACCAGCCAACCGGAGGGCAUUAUGGUAAAAGGGGAGAAAAGGUGAACUGGAGGGCAUUAUGGUAAAAGGGGAGGAAAAGUGAGGAGAGAGGAUUAUGUGUGAUAAUAAACUAAUGAAGUGGGAACCUUUGAGGUGGGGAGGGGGGAGAUAUGCCAUGUGAGGUAUGGCUCAUUGCCAAUACCCCAUAGCUUAUGUUGCUUUCUAUAUUUCAAGGAGAACUUUCAUUAUAGUAUUAUACGUUAAUGUCAAUCUUUAGCUCAGUUCAGUUGAACAAUGGAUGAAAAUAAUGUAAUGUUGCAGCUCUAUGUUGAGUUUCCUUAUCUGACUCUGACUUAUGAAAAUACUGUUAGUGUUCUUUU